Molecule: ribosomal RNA, 222 nt
Filed under: uncultured bacterium
Lineage: Bacteria
Description: partial 16S ribosomal RNA
Rfam family: Bacterial small subunit ribosomal RNA
Source: RNAcentral
CGACGUAAAGAACUUGCCUCACAGAUAGGGACAACAUUUGGAAACGAAUGCUAAUACCUGAUAUUAUGAUUUUAGGGCAUCCUAGAAUUAUGAAAGCUAUAUGCGCUGUGAGAGAGCUUUGCGUCCCAUUAGCUAGUUGGAGAGGUAACGGCUCACCAAGGCGAUGAUGGGUAGCCGGCCUGAGAGGGUGAUCGGCCACAAGGGGACUGAGACACGGCCCUU